RNAcentral lists this non-coding RNA (21 nucleotides) under Mus musculus (house mouse). The record is from RNAcentral. Lineage: Eukaryota; Metazoa; Chordata; Mammalia; Rodentia; Muridae.
CUUAAGCAGACUUGACAGGAU